AAAGUCGUAACAAGGUCUCCGUAGGUGAACCUGCGGAGGGAUCAUUAACACGUUUCCAUAACGUUUUAUUACCAACCAACCGCGUGAAUUUAAUGGAAUUAAAUUUUACCCGACUUGAGAGGGAGAGAACCUGUCUAUUUACACGGAGUGAUGAGUGUGUUUGUAUGUGUGAAAGCAUAUAGAAGCAUGCGGUGUAUUUAGGCUUGUAAUGCUUCGACAUUACGGGAUUAUCUCUCUUUCAAGCUAUCAAUUCUUACCAAUGUUCCCUUCAUCGCUGGAACGAACAAACCCCUUUCACCCCUUUAUAACUAACUAGACUGAUAUAUUUCUGAAGAUAGCAUUAAUCUGUUAUUUUCGAAAUGAUUUUAAUCAAAUAUCUAAGCACAACUCUUAGCAACGGAUAUCUUGGUUCUC
This 414-nucleotide unclassified non-coding RNA is filed under the name fungal sp. RNAcentral describes it as "partial contains small subunit ribosomal RNA, internal transcribed spacer 1, and 5.8S ribosomal RNA". The stretch from base 1 to 47 matches the Rfam family "Eukaryotic small subunit ribosomal RNA", at positions 1785 to 1831 of the family's 1831-position model. The record is from RNAcentral. Lineage: Eukaryota; Fungi.